This is a non-coding RNA of Alligator sinensis (Chinese alligator), 468 nucleotides long. The record is from the annotation of a RefSeq genome assembly. Lineage: Eukaryota; Metazoa; Chordata; Crocodylia; Alligatoridae.
AUCGGUGUCAGGCCAGGCAGACGUACCAAGAUGGUCUCACUGGCUCCCCUGCUCUGCCUCGUGGUGCUCUGGGUCCAGGGUUCCUCCGGGCAGAUUGUGCUGACUCAGACCCCAGAGUCCCUGGCGGUGUCUCCAGGAGAUCGAGUGACCAUCAAGUGCAAAGCCAGCUCCAGCCUUACUUAUAGUAGCUCUGGGAGUACCUAUCAGCUCUUACACUGGUACCAACAGAAACCCGGGCAAGCUCCAAAGCUCCUCAUCUAUGAUGCUUCCACACGGCAGUCAGGAGUCCCAGCCCGGUUCAGCGGCAGUGGCUCUGGCACUGAUUUCACUCUCACUAUCAGCAGUGUUGAAGCUGAAGAUGACGGAGAUUAUUAUUGUCAGCAGACCCGCAGUGGUCCUCACACAGUGAUACAAACCCAUACAAAAACCUGCUGCGAUGCACAGCCCAGCACCACAGCUGCUUCCUGA